AAAAAGAAAAUGCUCUUUCUUUUCUGGAUCUCCUAGUUCCUGUCAGACCAUCCGUAAGAAGAGAAGUCUAACCCUCAGGCAGUGAGGGAUGACAGAGCAUGGCUGCUGCAUACUGGCAGAGACAGAGAGUUGCUUCAGCACCCAGGCCUCACUCAGCAGCUGCUGCCACACAGCACCAGUCAAAGUUAUUCCAGCAUGAAGCCCUGAGGGAGUAAUGUAUUGCUGCUUCUGUGGAUUAUAGGCAACCACUUCCCCAAAGCCAGAGAUAAUCUGUGUAUUAGAGUAAUUGCACCCAUGUGAACACUCUCCCAAAGACUUCUCCUAAGGCCGUCCCCAGCCAGCAGGUGUGUACACAGGCACUUUGCUCACCGUGAGUAAGCAUCUCUAGUGGGUUCAGCCAGGAAAGCCUUUUGUGCCUCCUAUCAAAUAGCAGAGAGGUUUUGGCAGCAUUACAGAGCAUCAGAAUUAAACAUCAUCCCCAAGAACAAAAAAGCUGAUGGUCCUACCAUCAGCUGCUGCAGGAGGACUAAGUGAUGUGUCUAAGUCCAAAGGGAUACUUAUAACCCAGGAAGACUAAUAAUCCACGAAGUUAAUUUUUGCUAUUACUUGAAAGUAAAGUGCCCUUCUUCUGUUCAUAAGACAGACAAAAUUGAGAAGAGAUGCCCAGAGUGGUUUGUGCUGUUUUUCCUUUCAUUAGUUGUGUUUCAGACGAUCUGGGAAAUUACAUUGUUGGGCACAUUUGCUGGAAAUCUAGAAUUGGAGAUGACAGACUCAUCUCCCUCUCUAAAGGAUUAGAACAAUCUAAUUGUUUAAUAGGUAAGCAACAUGUUUAAUGUUUAAACUGUAAAUCCCUUCUUUAGCUCACUCUGCACCAGGACACUUAGUCAUUGAAUGAUUUCUGAGGCUGUGUCCCCAUGCUGGCUGUCAAAAGUAGCCACUGUUCUCAAGCUUAGCACCUGUCACUGCCAUGAAUACAGAAAUACUAAUUUAAAUGUUUAACUUCGGGGGCAAAAAAAGUUAAUGACUAAAAGAAUGCCUCCAGUUUCAGCCUUCCAAUGGCAUCAACAAUGAUGAGAAUUUUCCUUUGAAAAUAGAGCCUGAUAGGGUAUGGUAGAUAUGAUAAGCAUAUUUUUUAAUGCUUUCCCUUGAGUUCGACUGUUGGAGUUGGUGACUGAAGUGAUUCCUUUAGCGCUGUAGCCCAUAUUUACAACAGUAGUAACCUUUGAAGCAUAGAGGUUCAGCCUCUGUUUGCAAAGGGCAAGGUGAAGACUGACCCAAUCCUGCUAAGCUACACUUCCUACUUGCUCUUUGCUAGUAGAUUAAUAGCACAAGCAUGUUGAACAAGUGUUGUUUUCAAAAUGCUGAGGGGUUGUCAAUUUUUUUCCCUGAAGAAAAUUUCAUUUAAAAAUAAAUGUUAUAAUGUUUCUCAAGUAGUUCUGAAGCAAGUAAAAAUGUGUCCAAGCCAUGCUCCCUAUCACCUUAUUCUCUGUUAAGCACAGCCUAAAGUCUGUUUUCCCUCUCACCAACAUG
This is a long non-coding RNA of Lepidothrix coronata (blue-crowned manakin), 1530 nucleotides long. RefSeq lists it as uncharacterized. The transcript has 3 exons. The record is from RefSeq and is a predicted model, not a curated record. Lineage: Eukaryota; Metazoa; Chordata; Aves; Passeriformes; Pipridae.